Molecule: ribosomal RNA, 440 nt
Filed under: uncultured bacterium
Lineage: Bacteria
Description: partial 16S ribosomal RNA
Rfam family: Bacterial small subunit ribosomal RNA
Source: RNAcentral
CCUACGGGUGGCAGCAGUGGGGAAUAUUGCACAAUGGGGGAAACCCUGAUGCAGCGACGCCGCGUGAGUGAAGAAGUAUUUCGGUACGUAAAGCUCUAUCAGCAGGGAAGAAAAUGACGGUACCUGACUAAGAAGCCCCGGCUAACUACGUGCCAGCAGCCGCGGUAAUACGUAGGGGGCAAGCGUUAUCCGGAUUUACUGGGUGUAAAGGGAGCGUAGACGGCAGCGCAAGUCUGGAGUGAAAUCCCAUGGCUUAACCAUGGAACUGCUUUGGAAACUGUGCAGCUAGAGUGCAGGAGAGGUAAGCGGAAUUCCUAGUGUAGCGGUGAAAUGCGUAGAUAUACGGAGGAACACCAGUGGCGAAGGCGGAUUGCUGGACAGUAACUGACGCUGAGGCGCGAAAGCGUGGGGAGCAAACAGGAUUAGAUACCCCUGUAGUC